Molecule: ribosomal RNA, 938 nt
Filed under: uncultured archaeon
Lineage: Archaea
Description: bacterial SSU rRNA
Rfam family: Archaeal small subunit ribosomal RNA
Source: RNAcentral
UUGAUCCUGCCGGACCCUACUGCUAUCGGGGUGGGACUAAGACAUGCGUGUCGAACGACCCCUAGCCAUGAAGGGGACGUGGCAUACGGCUCAGUAACACGCGGCUAACCUACCCUUGAGACAGGGACAACCCCGGGAAACUGGGGCUAAUCCCCGAUAGAUGAGAACACCUGGAACGGGUUCUCGUCCAAAAGGCGCCUAGAUCACGCUUCUAGACGCUGCUCAAGGAUGGGGCCGCGGCCGAUCAGGCUGUUGGUGAGGCAAUGGCUCACCAAACCUUUAACCGGUACGGGCCGUGGGAGCGGGAGCCCGGAGAUGGGAACUGAGACAAGGUCCCAGGCCCUACGGGGCGCAGCAGUCGCGAAAACUUGUCAAUGCACGAAAGUGUGAACGGGCUACCCCGAGUGCCGUCCGCUGAGGAUGGCUUUUCUCUGCUGUAAGGAAGCGGAGGAAUAAGGCGAGGGCAAGUCUGGUGUCAGCCGCCGCGGUAAUACCAGCUCGCCGAGUGGUAGGGAUGAUUAUUGGGCUUAAAGCGUCCGUAGCCGGCCUUUCAAGUCUCUCGUUAAAUCCAGCGAUUCAAUCGUUGGACUGCGGGAGAUACUGUUAGGCUAGGGGGCGGGAGAAGCCGACGGCAUUUUCGGGGUAGGGGUAAAAUCCUAUAAUCCCGGGAAGACCACCAGUGGCGUAGGCGGUCGGCUAGCACGCGCUCGACGGUGAGGGACGAAAGCUGGGGGAGCGAACCGGAUUAGAUACCCGGGUAGUCCCAGCUGUAAACGAUGCUGGCUAGGUGUUGAAGCGGCUACGAGCCGCUUCAGUGCCGCAGGGAAGCCAUUAAGCCAGCCGCCUGGGGAGUACGGCCGCAAGGCUGAAACUUAAAGGAAUUGGCGGGGGAGCACCACAAGGGGUGAAGCUUGCGGUUUAAUUGGAUUCAACGCCGG